UUUGUCAGAUCGUUGCCAUUCAUGCCUUGUCCCAGCACUUCCUCGUUCCUGACCCCGAAUCCCGAAUCCCAAAUCCUGGCGUACCGACCUCUGCCUGUGACUCCAACCAUCCCAAUGGUACGGGAGCAACUUAUCUCCGCGAGGCUCUCAUCUCUCCAAGCGUGGGGUUUCACAGCUUUGCCGGCCGCUAUCUGGGACUCUGGCAUGCGGGUCCGACGCCGGCACGAGAUCAGACGGCGCGCGCUGUGUUGCCCAACGCGCUAGAUGGUUCUUCUUUUGGGGUCAAGUUCGCAGGCCAGUAAAUCCGGGAGGACCGUCAGGGGCGUCAGUCGGACCAAGUGAUAUCCAAGAAAGCUCAGGUUCCCAGUGGGGGCUACGUGACAAGCUCGAUCAUUUCUGACGGAUUAGGUGGCAGUCCGCUUCGGUUUCGGGGACGGGUGAAGAGUCAAAGAUCCAACAAGGCCGAACUGUGUAGUACAAGAACACAACGCGUGAGCCGGCUGACUGCAACAUUCUUUGCCCUCGACUUCACUCGAAUUUGGACUUAAACUAAGUGGUCUUGACUGCGGCCCAUCUGCAGAAUCGCUAAUCAUCCAUCAUGUCUUUGAGUUGAACUACGAAGCGGAUCGCGCGGACCUAUAAGGAUGUUAGCACGACGUCUUCUGAGGGGGCAGACGUUUGAACAUUUGACCACCCUGUUAGCUUGUUUACAAUCUGUACACGGGCCCUAUUUAUAGACUCUUGUUCUGGUUGGUAACAAACAACAGCUUGUGUUCAAGAUGUCGUGAGGCACCGUUGUAACUUGUGCGCCACAUGUGACGGGAAUGGCCCGUGAGGGGGUCUCUCUUGUCAAGGUGGGGUGAAGCGGGCCAAUGUCAAAAAAAAAAAAAAAAAGCAGCGCUAAGUGUCGGAACAAAAAGUCUGAUCUAAAUUAGGCCUGGGCGCAGAUGCAUGCAGGUUGUAGAUGAACAAAUCAACUGGAGAGAUGGUUGUACUAGUGUGUGUGUGGAGUGGAGUGGGGUGGGGUGGGGUGGGGGUCGUGGUGUUGGGUAGGGUGCGUCUGAGCUCACAGCUGGGAGAGUAGUGUGCGAACUCUGCCAAAGCCUCGGCACAUGACUCCCACCACUUGUCAAAAAAUCACCAUGUGUGCAAUAAUGUGAUUACAGUCUGGUUACUAUUAUGAUUUUGAAACAACACACUUGUGCGGAAUGGCGAUCGAGGGUGGAAGGCGGCGGUUGGACGGAGAGGGGGAGGUCGGUUGGGGGGGGGGGUAGUUGUAAGGGUGAGUUUGGGGUUGAGAGUAAGGAGGAAAGGGAGGUGGGCUGCACUGGGUUCGUUGCCCCUAGGCACCACCCUGCCCUGCCAAAGGACACCGAGCGAAGGGGUGACUUUCUGGGUCUUGUCAUGGAUUUACAAGUUGAGGGAAGCUUUACAUCAUCCCCCCAGCCCCCCACCCCAAUCCUUCUCCUAGUCUCAUGCCAGGUUACACAAUCAAUGGAGUGCACACAAGGGGUUGUCAUCACAGGUGCAGCCGGAGAUUGGCCGAGAUGAAGGAACGCGUCCAGCUCGACGUGUUUGCCACCAGCUCGUGUUUUAAGUACCUCCUGGUUAUCCAAAAUCUUAAGACCAAAUGGCAGAAAAUGCCCCCCAGUCCCUGCCCUCUUUUCUGUAUAACUUCUGGGAUCCUUGUGUGGGUGGUUUCUUGCUUUUUCUUGACCCAUUAAGCAAUGUCAAAUCCUUCCCCGAUAAGGUGUUGGCAACUUUACCCCAAUGGUGUUGUUCUGAAAGAUGUGUUGAAGAUGUCUGGAUUUUCAUUUUUGCAAGACAAAACGGCCAAAAUCUGACUCCGAGGAAAUGCGCCUCAAAGAACUUUGCAGGCCAACAGUUGGCAAAGACUGACGACAUCCCCUAAUUUGAAAUCCCCAAUCGGGAAAGGAAAAACUCAAUCCCCCUCUUGGGGGAAAGAGAAAACUUCAAAAGGAACCAUAGAUGGGGUAGCCCCCUUUUCAGGAUGGACCAGGAUCCAAUGAAUGUCGAGCGGGCGACAGCUUUUCACUGAGUACGGUGCUUUACAGUACCAAUUAAGGUGGCACAAGAACCCAUUUAAAGAGAUGAAGUGCCACUGGUAGAUGCCUCGGGGUAUCUGUUCUGCCACGGGACCUAGCCCAGUCGGUCGGAGCAGAAUCGCCCAUUGCAACGACUCAAGGGAAGUGGACUACCUCAGAUCUUGUCACACUUGGUCGGUCAGGAAUCCAUGCUGCAGUUGUCUCAGAUUCAGUCAUCUCCAAAAUGUGAAGUUUUCUUCAUUUUCGUUCUGUGUCAUUUUGUCAUGUCAUUGCGUAUCCCCCCCACCCCCCGACUCUGAAGCUUUUCCAAG
This is a long non-coding RNA of Syngnathoides biaculeatus (alligator pipefish), 2377 nucleotides long. RefSeq lists it as uncharacterized. Lineage: Eukaryota; Metazoa; Chordata; Actinopteri; Syngnathiformes; Syngnathidae. The record is from RefSeq and is a predicted model, not a curated record. The transcript has 4 exons.